This 583-nucleotide ribosomal RNA is filed under the name Ceratobasidium sp. CBS 140.82. Its description in RNAcentral is "eukaryotic LSU rRNA". The stretch from base 180 to 333 matches the Rfam family "5.8S ribosomal RNA". Lineage: Eukaryota; Fungi; Basidiomycota; Agaricomycetes; Cantharellales; Ceratobasidiaceae. The record is from RNAcentral.
CAUUUUUGGCGGGGCCGCUGGCCUCUUACCGAGGCAUGUGCACGCCUUCUCUGUUCAUCCACACACAMCUGUGAACUUGUGAGACGGAUUGACCCUCUCGGGGGGACGGUCCGUCUAUUAURCAUAAACUCCAAUAAAUAUAAAUCUGAAUGUAAUCUGAUGUAACGCAUCUUUAAACUAAGUUUCAACAACGGAUCUCUUGGCUCUCGCAUCGAUGAAGAACGCAGCGAAAUGCGAUAAGUAAUGUGAAUUGCAGAAUUCAGUGAAUCAUCGAAUCUUUGAACGCACCUUGCGCUCCUUGGUAUUCCUUGGAGCAUGCCUGUUUGAGUAUCAUGAAAUUCUCAGAAUAAAUCUUUUGUUCAUUCGAUCGAUUUUAUUUUGGACUUGGAGGUCUGCAGAUUCACGUCUGCUCCUCUUAAAUUCAUUAGCUGGAUCUCUGUGAGCUCGGUUCCACUCGGCGUGAUAAGUAUCACUCGCUGAGGACACUGUAAAAAGUGGCCGGGGUUGUAGUUAGARSCGCUUCUAAUAGUCCCUUGGACAAUUUAUUUAGAGGGUGGUUCCCAGGAGAAGGGCAGGGCCCAAG